Molecule: long non-coding RNA, 1590 nt
Organism: Passer domesticus (house sparrow)
Lineage: Eukaryota; Metazoa; Chordata; Aves; Passeriformes; Passeridae
Exons: 4
Source: RefSeq, a predicted model, not a curated record
AGAAGGGAGAGAAUUUGAAGGCUAAAAGCAGGAAACUUGUGGGUUGAGAUAAAGACAAAUUAAUGGAAUAUCCUUUUGCUCACUUUGGGUCACCUGUCCUGGCUGUGUCUCCUCCCAAGCACCCCCAACUUCCUCACCAGUGUGGCAGUACAAAAAACAGAAAAUGCUUUGGUUCUGUGAAAGUCCUGCUCAGCAACAACAAAAAUAUCUCUGUAUUGUCAACCCUGUGUUGUCCAAAACAGAGCCCUGCACCAGCCACUGUGAAGAAAGUUAACUCUACCCCAGCUGAAACCAGCACAAGCAGUAAUAGGCAUCUGAGGGAGGCCACAGCAAUCACCAACAAUGAGAUGAGAUGAUGGCAUACAGCUGGGAACUUCAAGCUGAAUUAGCACUGCAAAAUUUGGAUCCUGCCAGUCCCAGACAGCCUUCAUCAAAACUGUGCUGGAGCAAUCAAGGAGCAGAUUGGGACCUACCUUGCAGAGAACAAAAGGGGAUGAGGAAUCUACUUACACCAUUAUAUUGACCUUCUGCUUUGACAAGCUGGAAAUUCACAAAAUGCCUGUGACAUUCUUGCAAGACCACAAGCAAUGAGCACAAAAAGGACAAGCCUGAAUCUCAAAUGGGAACAAAGCUAUAACUCAACCAGCUGGAGUUGAAAAAGGUCACUGGCUGAGCUCUAGAAAGACUUGCAUGUUUUGAUGUUUGUGGAAUAUCCUCAGGUUCCCUAGCAGGACACACUGCUGGGACAAGAGCACGCCAGAGCAAGUUUAUGAUGCUGAGGCAUCUCCAGGAUUUGACUGCAGCAGAAAUACCUUGUGGUUUCUCUACAUCUGCGUGAAAUUAGUAAGUCCUGGAACACAUGAAAAUUAGUAAUAAAAAUAAAAGCUUUCCUUCCACCCCCCGUCACCUCCUCCCACUGACACAAUUUAAAGAUUUAGAAUCAGUUUGUAUCGUGGCCAGAGAUUGAAGUUACGAUUGUAAUGUUUCCACUUAGGACAAGGAAAUUGAAGUAGAGCAAUUAAUCAAUAACAAUAUGGGAAAGUAAAGGCUCAGACAGUCACUUAGAGCUUGCAUGCUUAGCUGCAUAAGGGGAAUUUUAGAAAACUUCUGUCUUUUACUGCCCUUUUAAGUUUUAUAUUACCAACUUUCAAGUACAGAGAGAAGUCAUGCUUUGUGCUGCCCUACUUCACCCAACAUUAUAAACCCAUUCCUUUGCAGGGAGCGGAUAUUUAAUUAUGAAUAAUCCCAAAGUGUUUCACUGAGUGUUGUACAAACUGUGCACUCAGGCCCAUUUCAUACAGUCAUGAAAUGCCAUCAUCCCUCAGGUGAAACAAAGCAACUCUUCAGCAGCACAAAGCAAAGCUGCACAGCAAUUUGGGGAAGGAAGUGAGCAAUAAUGGAUUCAUUUGAAACUGCAGGGGGAUUUUAACUAUGCAGAAUGCAAUUACCAGAACUGGAGUUUAUCCAGGACACUGGGGUUAAGACCCUAUCUAUUACAAAAGAUGCCACAGAACUUCCAGCAUCCUUCCCCUCAUUUCCUAUGUGUUACUCACUGGGCUUCUAAGUGCACACUGAGAGAGGCCAGUCCUG